AUGGAGAAAGCUUCAGAGCUAGUCGUCAUCCCAUCCGCCGGCAUCGGCCAUCUCGUCUCCGCCGUCGAGAUGUCGAAGCUCCUUGUUGCCCGCCAUGACCAACUUUUCAUCACUGUCCUCAUCAUGAAGCUACCCUUCAACUCCAAGGGCACAGAGGCCUACAUAGCCUCCCUCGAAGCCUCUCCCGUAUUGCCACGUGUCAACUUCAUCACCCUCCCAAAAGUCCCAGACCUAGACAAGCACCUCAGCUCCCACUCCUUCCGCAACCAGUUCGUCGAAAGCCACAAAACCCACGUCAAAAACGCGGUCGCCGAACUCACCGAGUCACAGUCCGAGUCAAGGCCUCGGCUUGCUGGUUCGUCAUCGACAUGUUUUGCACAACAAUGAUCGAUGUGGCGGAUGAUUUUGGGGUUCCUACGUACAUGUUCUUCACUUCACCUGCUGGGUUUCUUGGGCUACUGUUCAACCUACAAAGAAUUCGCGAUGUGUAUGGAAAGGACGUCAGUGAGUUCAAAGACUCGGACGCUGAGUUGUCCCUGCCCACUUUUGUCAACUCGGUUCCCGGCAGGGUCUUGCCUAGUGUGGUUCUGGACAAGGAGGGCGCGUAGUCGUUUCUAAGCUAUGCCAAACGGUUUACAGAAACCAAGGCCAUUUUGGUAAAUACAUUCAUGGAGCUAGAGUCACAUGCUCUUGAUUCUCUUUCUGAUGGUGAAACCCCGCCUUUGUAUCCUGUGGGUCCCAUCUUGAAUCUGAUGAGUGAUGAUACCCAAUCGGGUUCAGAGCAAGCGCAACAGAAGUCGGAUAUAUUGGAGUGGCUAGAUGAUCAGCCUCCUUCGUCAGUGGUGUUCUUGUGCUUUGGGAGCAUGGGAAGCUUUGGUGAGGACCAGGUGAGGGAGAUAGCGUGGGGGCUGGAGCGGAGUGGGCUCCGGUUCUUGUGGUCUCUACGCCAGCCCCCACCAAAGGAGACCGUUGUGUCCCUGGUGACUAUUCGAAUCCUAAGGGGGUCUUACCGGAAGGGUUCCUAUUUCGGACGGCUGCGAUGGGAAAGGUCAUAGGGUGGGCUCCGCAGGUGGCGAUCUUGGCCCACCCGGCAGUAGGAGGGUUCGUAUCCCACUGCGGGUGGAAUUCCACGCUUGAGAGCCUAUGGUUCGGGGUGCCGAUGGCCACGUGGCCGGUGUACGCGGAGCAACAAUUAAAUGCCUUUGAAUUGGUAAGGGAGUUGGGUUUGGCAGUGGCAAUUAAGAUGGAUUAUAGGACGGACACCCAAGUGGUGGUGAGUGCGGAGGAGAUAGAGAGAGGGAUAAGGGAGGUGAUGGGGCAUGAUAGUGAUGUAAGGAAGAGGGUGAAAGAGAUGAGUGAUAAGAGCAAAAAAGCCUUGAUGGAAGGUGGCUCCUCGCACUCUUCAUUGGGACAUUUUCUUGAUCAGAUUUUCCUUUGA
This 1438-nucleotide long non-coding RNA is filed under the name Prunus dulcis (almond). RNAcentral describes it as "sRNA ncRNA". The record is from RNAcentral. Lineage: Eukaryota; Viridiplantae; Streptophyta; Magnoliopsida; Rosales; Rosaceae.